UACAGAGGGUGCGAGCGUUGUCCGGAAUCACUGGGCGUAAAGGGCGCGUAGGCGGCCUGAUAAGUAGGGGGUGAAAUCUCGCGGCUCAACUGCGAGGCUGCCUCCUAAACUGUCGGGCUCGAGCACAGUAGAGGCAGGUGGAAUUCCCGGUGUAGCGGUGGAAUGCGUAGAGAUCGGGAAGAACAUCGGUGGCGAAGGCGGCCUGCUGGGCUGUUGCUGACGCUGAGGCGCGACAGCGUGGGGAGCAAACAGGAUUAGAAACCCCCGUAGUCC
This 273-nucleotide ribosomal RNA is filed under the name uncultured bacterium. Its description in RNAcentral is "partial 16S ribosomal RNA". It matches the Rfam family "Bacterial small subunit ribosomal RNA", at positions 524 to 796 of the family's 1533-position model. The record is from RNAcentral.